GCGACCCGCCAGGACCCGAAAGGAGCCGCCCAGACUGGUGGUGCAGACGCUGAGAUCGGCCGACCCUCAGUACAGCGAGGACGAAGCCGACGCUGCGAGGCGAGAGGAGAGAGAUUCAGAUUCAAAAAAGCAGCCGGAGGAGCCGGAAGGAGCGACUGCAGCUCAAACUAAACCCACAGAAUCACCGAAGCCGAAGAAUAAACUGAGAAAACUGAAGCUUUCUCCAGACGAACCCGACGGAGACGGAGCAGAACCGAAACCAGCAGAGAGGAGACCCCACGUUCAGGACCUGGAGGCCUCAGCUGGAGACGCUUCGUCUGUCUCGCUGACAAACGUCGAAACCGUGGGAACUCCGGUCCAGGAGUCCGGUGGCCGAGUAGGAAGAUUAACGGAGCGGACACACCUGACCGACCAGUUUACUGAUCUACAGACCUGCUGACCUGGACCAUUGACCAAUCAGCAGCCGGUAUCAUGGAGGAAGUAAAUGUCGAAAACAGCUCCGCUUACGGUUGAAUUACGGUCUUCCUGGAUGGUGGAAGACGGAGUAAAAGCCGGGAUUUGAACGAGGAAAUAGCUUGAAAUUUGAAUCAAAAUGGUUAUUUUGUCAUUUACAAAGCAGAAUGCGAUUUUAUAGAUGCUGUUAGGAUGUUUUUCUGGCCGGUUUUCCUGAAUAUCAGUGAUCCUUCCUUCCAUUUUCCAUUCUGAAGGUUGAUCUAGAUGUAAAAAACAGAACAGGACCGACUCGUCUGGAGCUGAAUGUGUGAAUUUCAAACAUUUUUAAACCAAACUGGACAACAAAAUCAUCAUAAAUCAGUAGAAAUGGACAUUUUGAAAGCGUAAUGAUGAAAGCACAAACAUUUGACUUAAUUAGAAGAAAUAAAGCUUUGAUAAACAGCUUUUCAGCUCACUGGUUUGUGUUUUCACAGAUUUGCUUUAUUCUACCUGUUGGUGUCAGUGCGUUUAGCUGCUAACCAGACAGAUGUUUAACUCUGUUGGUGAAAAGUAAAAAAAAAAAAAAAAGAUGCGUAAAUAUUGCACUUACAUUUUCAGGUGGCCAAAACCCAAUAAUCAACUUGUAAUCUCUCAAUUCUCCGUGUCCACGUGUGUUUUACAGUUUACCAUUUAAGAUUUGUAAAUCAUGUCUGAUUUCUCUGAUAAUAAUGUAAAUUAUGUUAUUUUCAUUUCAUACAUGUACUCCAUCUGCUGUCAUUUGUUAAAUUUGAAGCUAUUGUUUAAAUAAAACUCUUAUUUUGC
This is a long non-coding RNA of Amphiprion ocellaris (clown anemonefish), 1254 nucleotides long. RefSeq lists it as uncharacterized. The record is from RefSeq and is a predicted model, not a curated record. The transcript is spliced from 2 exons. NCBI's taxonomy places the organism in Eukaryota, Metazoa, Chordata, Actinopteri, Pomacentridae.